Molecule: ribosomal RNA, 870 nt
Filed under: Triticum aestivum (bread wheat)
Lineage: Eukaryota; Viridiplantae; Streptophyta; Magnoliopsida; Poales; Poaceae
Description: partial small subunit ribosomal RNA
Source: RNAcentral
UUUCCCACUGAACGAACCAUCGAUGUCGACUAGGUUAUGGACGCACGGAUGAGGCUGAUAAUCCAGGCAGCAGCACUGAUUAGUGUGAUUCAGGCAUGGGUCAUGUUCAUGAACCAGAGAGUUGUUCGUCGUGCUGGGAGGCCUUUGAUCCGCUAUGGUCCAUUGUUUCUCCGGGAACAGGGGAGGAUCCAAAAUCUGAACUACAUCUACAACUGCAAUGAUGUCGAGGCUCUGUGGAUGCUUCGAAUGAAAAGAGCACCAUUUGCCAGGCUUGUCGAGACCUUCAGGAGCUGGGGGCUGCUACAAGAUAGCAUCAACACCAAUGUCGAAGAGUAAGUGGCCAUGUUCCUCCAUGUUGUUGGCCAUAACCAGAGGUUCAGGGUCAUUCACAACACGUUCAGGAGAUCAAUGGAGACCAUCUCUAGGUACUUCAAGCAAGUGCUUUUUGCUAUUGGGGAGCUUAGAGGAGAGAUGAUCAGGAGACCAUCUGGUCAGACUCCACCCAAGAUUCGCGGAAGCCCAAGAUGGUAUCCAUACUUCAAGGUGGGCAUUGACAAUAUACACUUUUCAUGGCUUGAUAUGCUUGUAUUGUUCAAGUUGAGCACUAACUGUAACACCCCGGAUGUAACUUUCCAUAUUUGUAACUCCAACUCUUGCCAUUUUCGGCUAUGUGUUAUGAUAUUCCUUCCGUGGUUGGGUUUUGUCUCUCGUUUUGCAUUUUGUUCAUGUCAUGCAUCUCAUAUCAUGUCAUCAUGUGCAUUGCAUUUGCAUACGUGUUCAUCUUAUGCAUCCGAGCAUUUUCCCCGCUGUCUGUUUUGCGAUCCGACACUCCCACGUACACCGGCGCACCCCUCUUGUUUUUUUUCGUGA